RNAcentral lists this long non-coding RNA (1965 nucleotides) under Sus scrofa (pig). RNAcentral's name for it is "lncRNA (ENSSSCG00000062629.1, ENSSSCG00150015742.1)". Lineage: Eukaryota; Metazoa; Chordata; Mammalia; Artiodactyla; Suidae. The record is from RNAcentral.
AUUGUGUUGUCAUUGUUUGGAUUCUGCCUUAGCAUAUUGGGCUUUGAGGUUCUUGCAGGCCAGAGUAGGUGAUUCAUAAAUGUUUGAGAUUGGUUAAAAUAAAAAGUUAGCAUAGCUCAGCAAGAUUUUCGCCCUCAAGAUUGAUGCUGCUAGCUUGUCAGUGGAGUUCUCUGUCUAUCAAGAGGCCGGUAGCAGGUGGAUUAAGACUUCCGGUUUGGGGUGCCUCUGCCUCCCUCCUCAGCUCCCACGCUUCCCCAGGUGCAGUGUCAGAACGCGACUUCGAGUGCCGCCGAUGGGUCUGUCCCUUUUCUCUAGAUAAGCUCUUUACAGUGCUUGAAAUGAAUGGUAAGAACUGACACUGGGGGCCUCUCCUUUUUGCUCCCCUUUACGUGAAUCAUUUGUGUGGUUGCAAAUGGAGUUUUCAUACCCUUGCCUCAAAUUAGAAUGUUAUCACCGUAAAGCAGUGUUUGCUGUGAAAGCAGCCGCAUCCCGAUAAUGGCGAAUUCCAUUCCCUCCCCAAGCUUCUGACUUGAGAUGUUUAGAGGAAUAAAAGAAAAAGAAAUAACAAUUGAUUGCUUCCUGUUUGGGGUUUUUCUUAAGCGAAAAGGAAUAAAUCUUCUUCUCACUUGAAACUGUUUGGCCUCUGCGUGUGAUAUAUUAAUGAGUGCAAAAGAAUUGACAUCAAACAAUGGUUUAUUGCAGAAAUUGCUGUAGUUAAGGCUGAGAAUGUGCUUUCAGUCAACACCCCAUGCCAACCUGUCAUCCCGCUUCCUCGUAAACGUCUUUGCAGGUGAUACAUAAACAUGCCAAGUGCACCACACAAUGCCCCAUGUGAGCGCUGGCUUGUCACAGUGCUUAGAUGCACAGAUGUUAUUUUUGCACUCCGAUUCAGAAGAUUUUGUUACGCAUCAGAAUUAUCAUAAACAUCAGCUCAUAUAGAUAGGGAAGGGAAAUUUUUUUUCUGUCUUUUUUUUUUUUUUUCUUUUUAGGGCCUCUGUGGCAUGAGGAAUAUUUAUCUAAUAGAAUGUCUCCAUUAUAUUGGUUGUUUGAGAUGAAGUUAAAAUCUCAGGUGUUGGCCUUGUUGGUUGGCGAGAAGUUAGUUGGUAUUUCCCCUCUUCUGAAAAAACAUUUCAUAAAUAACAUUUAUAAGAUUUUUUCUUGAACUGUUUGUAAUAUUUUUUCUUGAACUGUUGUAUAGCUUUGGAGAUGGGUUCUCUUCAGAAGCCUCAGGAGCCAUCCAGAUGUAUUCUCUGUAGCAGUGUGGAUUUGGCUGUUUUGUGUGAUGUGCCUUUAACAGACCUGUCAGCUUUCUUCUGUUUUCUAUCCCGCCGCAGCCGGCCGAUUAGGUUCUGUGACGCUUAUCCAAUAUAUUAUAAUGCUUUAUAGGAUCUUUGGCCCAAACCUAGAGUUUGUCUCAUUCUGGGUUUGGAUUGUCUGUUGGCAGUUCAUUACACUGUGUUUGGCCUCUGAGUUUCCCAAACCAGCUGUGCCUACUGCUGUUUGCACAGGCUCAGCGGGUGCCAAAGGCUGGCACAGGGAAGGGUAAACAGAUGCUGGGGCUCUGUCCAGAUUCAGACCUCUAGUGCUUUUUAGCAUAUUUGUAUAUGGUUUGAAUUUUUUAUUUUCUCUAUAUUGUGAUGUUUCUACACCUUAAAAACCUUUCUGGCUGAGGAGAGAGUGUCCCUCCCUGUGCAAACCAGUUCUUAGAGGCAGCAAAGGAUUAGCAGGGACCAGACCUUUGAUAUGAAACCUAACCAAUCCAGCGUCUUAGCUCCUCCACCUGGCAUAUUUGCACCAAGCCAAUAUUUGCCCUGCCCUAAACCAUCCCAGGGCCUGCUGCCCAACCGGAGGCCGGUCUGUAGGAAUUCUUCAAACUAGCCCAUCUUCAACUGUUAACUCUGCCUGCCUGGCUUUUUCUGUGGAAACCCCAGAGGGGGCUCUGGCCAAAUGUCCCCCUCACUCCUG